This 88-nucleotide non-coding RNA is filed under the name Rhizobium sp. Its description in RNAcentral is "Glycine sequence". It matches the Rfam family "Glycine riboswitch aptamer". From Rfam's summary of the family: This family represents the bacterial glycine riboswitch. Glycine riboswitches usually consist of two metabolite-binding aptamers domains with similar structures in tandem. The record is from RNAcentral. Lineage: Bacteria; Pseudomonadati; Pseudomonadota; Alphaproteobacteria; Hyphomicrobiales; Rhizobiaceae.
UCAACCUUGUUGGGAGAAGCCGGCUCGUCGCAGUCGGUGCCGAAGGAGCAACCGCCCCGGAAACUCUCAGGCAAAAGGACCAGCAAGG